GGAACCACCUGAUCCCAUCCCGAACUCAGAAGUGAAACCUGCCUGCGCCGAUGGUACUUUGUCUUAAGGCACGGGAGAGUAGGUCACCGCCGGGC
RNAcentral lists this ribosomal RNA (95 nucleotides) under Thalassospira sp. Lineage: Bacteria; Pseudomonadati; Pseudomonadota; Alphaproteobacteria; Rhodospirillales; Thalassospiraceae. The record is from RNAcentral.